This 74-nucleotide transfer RNA is filed under the name Thalassospira sp. RNAcentral's name for it is "tRNA-Glu". It matches the Rfam family "tRNA". From Rfam's summary of the family: Transfer RNA (tRNA) molecules are approximately 80 nucleotides in length. Their secondary structure includes four short double-helical elements and three loops (D, anti-codon, and T loops). Lineage: Bacteria; Pseudomonadati; Pseudomonadota; Alphaproteobacteria; Rhodospirillales; Thalassospiraceae. The record is from RNAcentral.
CCCCUUCGUCUAGAGGCCUAGGACACCGCCCUUUCACGGCGGCAACAGGGGUUCGAAUCCCCUAGGGGACGCCA